GGGGCCAUGGUUCAGUGGCAGAGCAGAAGAUUCCAGGUUCAAUCCCUGGUGGCAUCU
RNAcentral lists this transfer RNA (57 nucleotides) under Sphaerodactylus townsendi. RNAcentral describes it as "tRNA-Leu". It matches the Rfam family "tRNA". From Rfam's summary of the family: Transfer RNA (tRNA) molecules are approximately 80 nucleotides in length. Their secondary structure includes four short double-helical elements and three loops (D, anti-codon, and T loops). The record is from RNAcentral. Lineage: Eukaryota; Metazoa; Chordata; Lepidosauria; Squamata; Sphaerodactylidae.